GAGUCACAACCCCCACCAGCCACUUAAUACAGACAUUUGCCAGUGAAUCAUAGUUGUCAUCAACUUGAAGUUGACAGAGGGAUACAAUGGAAAUACGCCAAACUCAUCCUCCUCCUUCAUCCUAUCUUGGAUGGUCCAUCUUUAAUACUUUUUGCUGUUGUCUGCCUCUCGGGAUUGCAGCUAUUAUCUAUUCUAGCAAGGUAGAGUCGGCAAAUGGACGCGGAGACAUUGACAGAGCUCAAGAUGCAUCACAAACAGCCAAGAUGCUGAACAUCGCCGGACUCAUCUGUGGAAUAAUUAUUAUCAUCAUUUAUGUCUCCAUCAAAUUAACUGAACCAAAGUGAAGGUUCUGGUAUUUCCCAGAAGGCGCACUGCAAUCCCAGCCAUUUUAUGCCCUCUGCUUUCGCUUUUCAGCAUUCACCAUAUGGACUGACGUCUUUAUGUGUGGCGUUUACGUUACCAAUAAAAAGCAGAACAAUUCUUUGCUUUCAUGGUGCAAGCCAAAAAUACGAACAAAUGAGAAACCUCAAUUAAGUUUUGAUUUUCAUGUGCAUAAACUUGAUUUUUUGGAUUUAUUGCUUAAUUUGCUUAGAUUUUUUUUUUCAAGUAAUCUCUUGAAGAAAGCUGAGGAGGAAAAAAAUAAAUAUUUAACCCCCCAAAAAUUUGGCGUCAUAAAACACAAUAUGAACUUUUUAUUGUUUUAUUGUUGAUACUGUUAUUGUUGGUCUCAUUGCAUUUACCGUUUACAAUUUUAUUUUUGGAGAUUUGUUUUUCUGUUUGUACAACCCCUUCAGAUGGCAUUAUAAUAAAUGCACAGUUUGUCAGACACA
This is a long non-coding RNA of Oreochromis niloticus (Nile tilapia), 830 nucleotides long. RefSeq lists it as uncharacterized. The record is from RefSeq and is a predicted model, not a curated record. The transcript is spliced from 2 exons. Lineage: Eukaryota; Metazoa; Chordata; Actinopteri; Cichliformes; Cichlidae.